RNAcentral lists this ribosomal RNA (494 nucleotides) under uncultured bacterium. RNAcentral describes it as "partial 16S ribosomal RNA". It matches the Rfam family "Bacterial small subunit ribosomal RNA", at positions 28 to 507 of the family's 1533-position model. The record is from RNAcentral.
GACGAACGCUGGCGGCGUGCUUAACACAUGCAAGUCGAACGGAAAGGCCUGCUUUCCCUUGUGGAUUGCGGGUACUCGAGUGGCGAACGGGUGAGUAACACGUGAGUGAUCUGCCCCCAACUUGGGUAUAAGCCUGGGAAACUGGGUCUAAUUCCCGAUAGGACUGCAGGGUGGUGCCUGUGGUGGAAAACGAUUUUCUAGUGGUUGGGGAUGAGCUCGCGGCCUAUCAGCUUGUUGGUGGGGUAAUGGCCUACCAAGGCGGCGACGGGUAGCCGGCCUGGGAGGGUGGACGGCCACAUUGGGACUGGGAUACGGCCCAGACGCCUACGGGAGGCAGCAGUGGGGAAUAUAGCACAAUGGGCGGAAGCCUGAUGCAGCGACGCCGCGUGGGGGAUGACGGCCUUCGGGUUGUAAACUCCUUUCGACCGCGAGGAAGCCACCUGGUUGGAAGGGUGGUGACGGUAGUGGUAGAAGAAGCACCGGCUAACUACGUG